This 539-nucleotide ribosomal RNA is filed under the name Vibrio harveyi. Its description in RNAcentral is "bacterial SSU rRNA". It matches the Rfam family "Bacterial small subunit ribosomal RNA", at positions 8 to 526 of the family's 1533-position model. Lineage: Bacteria; Pseudomonadati; Pseudomonadota; Gammaproteobacteria; Vibrionales; Vibrionaceae. The record is from RNAcentral.
AGAGUUUGAUCCUGGCUCAGAUUGAACGCUGGCGGCAGGCCUAACACAUGCAAGUCGAGCGGAAACGAGUUAUCUGAACCUUCGGGGAACGAUAACGGCGUCGAGCGGCGGACGGGUGAGUAAUGCCUAGGAAAUUGCCCUGAUGUGGGGGAUAACCAUUGGAAACGAUGGCUAAUACCGCAUAAUACCUACGGGUCAAAGAGGGGGACCUUCGGGCCUCUCGCGUCAGGAUAUGCCUAGGUGGGAUUAGCUAGUUGGUGAGGUAAUGGCUCACCAAGGCGACGAUCCCUAGCUGGUCUGAGAGGAUGAUCAGCCACACUGGAACUGAGACACGGUCCAGACUCCUACGGGAGGCAGCAGUGGGGAAUAUUGCACAAUGGGCGCAAGCCUGAUGCAGCCAUGCCGCGUGUGUGAAGAAGGCCUUCGGGUUGUAAAGCACUUUCAGUCGUGAGGAAGGUAGUGUAGUUAAUAGCUGCAUUAUUUGACGUUAGCGACAGAAGAAGCACCGGCUAACUCCGUGCCAGCAGCCGCGGUAAUAC